RNAcentral lists this long non-coding RNA (614 nucleotides) under Manihot esculenta (cassava). Its description in RNAcentral is "long non-coding RNA (MESC_LNC008162)". Lineage: Eukaryota; Viridiplantae; Streptophyta; Magnoliopsida; Malpighiales; Euphorbiaceae. The record is from RNAcentral.
CCUUAUAGGGUCGGGCACCAUGAGUAGUUAGUGAAAGACCUGUGUGAGCUCCUUUGGGGGCCGGGCACCGACAGAGGGAGUUUUGGGGUCAUGUCCAAUCUGAGAUGUGAAAUGUUUGUGCAGUGAUGCAUUUCAUUAUAGCAUAUUUUAAAUGUUUUUAUGGUUUCCGCUCACUGGGCUUUAGCAGCUCAUCCCUCUCCCUAACCCCAUUUUUUCAGGGCCUCAGAGAAGAGAAAGAGAAAGAGAAAGCAAGGGUAAACGCAUAUGUACUAGUAUAGAAUAGUGGACAUGAUAAUAAUGUACAGUACAGAGUUUAUGUAAUGUAUAGAAAUGAUGUAAAAGCAAGUUAUAUAGAGUGUUAGAGUAUUGUGCUUGGCCCUAGUGCUUGUUAUCCUUUGUACAUGAUCCUUUUAUGUUAUAUAUGUUUGAGACAAUGUUGUGAUGAGAGCUAGGCUUGGUGCAUGGUAGUAUUUCUAUCUCUGUAGUUACUGUAUGGUACCAUAGCAGGUAUCACUCUUCGAGUGCAUACAGACAGAGCAUGCAUAGUCCAGGCUUAGUUGAUGAGAAAAGUUUCAAGAAAAGAAAAGAUAGUCAAGCAAAGAAAGAAAAAAAAA